This 477-nucleotide ribosomal RNA is filed under the name uncultured bacterium. Its description in RNAcentral is "bacterial SSU rRNA". It matches the Rfam family "Bacterial small subunit ribosomal RNA", at positions 8 to 526 of the family's 1533-position model. The record is from RNAcentral.
AGAGUUUGAUCCUGGCUCAGAAUCAACGCUGGCGGCGCGCUUAACACAUGCAAGUCGAGCGAGAAAGGGAGCAAUCCUGAGUAAAGCGGCGUACGGGUGAGUAACACGUGGAUAAUAUGCCUUUUAGUGGGGAAUACCCUUGGGAAACCGAGGACAAUACCGCAUAAGCCCGAGAGGGGAAAGCAGCAAUGCGCUGAAAGAGUAGUCCGUGGCUGAUUAGCUAGUUGGUAGGGUAAAGGCCUACCAAGGCUGUGAUCGGUAGCCGGCCUGAGAGGGCACACGGCCACACUGGCACUGAAACACGGGCCAGACUCCUACGGGAGGCAGCAGUGGGGAAUCUUGCACAAUGGACGAAAGUCUGAUGCAGCGACGCCGCGUGAGCGAUGAAGCCCUUCGGGGUGUAAAGCUCUUUCGACAGGAACGAUAAUGACGGUACCUGGAGAAGAAGCUGCGGCUAACUACGUGCACCGGUAAUAC